RNAcentral lists this ribosomal RNA (484 nucleotides) under uncultured bacterium. RNAcentral describes it as "partial 16S ribosomal RNA". It matches the Rfam family "Bacterial small subunit ribosomal RNA", at positions 30 to 507 of the family's 1533-position model. The record is from RNAcentral.
AUUGAACGCUGGCGGCAGGCCUAACACAUGCAAGUCGAGCGGAUGAAGGGAGCUUGCUCCUGGAUUCAGCGGCGGACGGGUGAGUAAUGCCUAGGAAUCUGCCUGGUAGUGGGGGAUAACGUCCGGAAACGGGCGCUAAUACCGCAUACGUCCUGAGGGAGAAAGUGGGGGAUCUUCGGACCUCACGCUAUCAGAUGAGCCUAGGUCGGAUUAGCUAGUUGGUGGGGUAAAGGCCUACCAAGGCGACGAUCCGUAACUGGUCUGAGAGGAUGAUCAGUCACACUGGAACUGAGACACGGUCCAGACUCCUACGGGAGGCAGCAGUGGGGAAUAUUGGACAAUGGGCGAAAGCCUGAUCCAGCCAUGCCGCGUGUGUGAAGAAGGUCUUCGGAUUGUAAAGCACUGUAAGUUGGGAGGAAGUGCAGUAAGUUAAUACCUUGCUGUUUUGACGUUACCAACAGAAUAAGCACCGGCUAACUUCGUG